CCUACGGGUGGCAGCAGUGGGGAAUAUUGCACAAUGGGGGAAACCCUGAUGCAGCGACGCCGCGUGAGCGAAGAAGUAUUUCGGUAUGUAAAGCUCUAUCAGCAGGGAAGAAAAUGACGGUACCUGAGUAAGAAGCUCCGGCUAAAUACGUGCCAGCAGCCGCGGUAAUACGGAGGAUGCGAGCGUUAUCCGGAUUUAUUGGGUUUAAAGGGUGCGCAGGCGGAUUGUUAAGUCAGCGGUAAAAUCGUUGGGCUCAACCCCAUCCAGCCGUUGAAACUGGGUUUCUAGAAUGUAAGAGAGGUAUGCGGAAUGCGUGGUGUAGCGGUGAAAGGCAUAGAUAUCACGCGGAACCCCGAUUGCGAAGGCAGCAUACCGGUGCACAACUGACGCUCAGGCACGAAAGCGUGGGUAUCGAACAGGAUUAGAUACCCGUGUAGUC
This 439-nucleotide ribosomal RNA is filed under the name uncultured bacterium. RNAcentral describes it as "partial 16S ribosomal RNA". It matches the Rfam family "Bacterial small subunit ribosomal RNA", at positions 338 to 795 of the family's 1533-position model. The record is from RNAcentral.